UUUAAAACGUUGAACAGAAGAGUAGGACUCACAAGCGUCUCCAGAAAGCCCGGCCGAUGGAAGCGGGUGACCUUGUUGUUUCGAAACACAUCUGUGAGUGGUUGUCUGAAUCUUAGUAGGAUGGCUCGGGAAAGCCCGUUACAGCUGGAGUUGCUUGCAACUCACUGAGGUCGAUUCAGUAAUGGAUCGGCGAACAGGGGUGGAACCACGAUGUGAUCGUCCUCUUA
RNAcentral lists this non-coding RNA (227 nucleotides) under Levilactobacillus namurensis. RNAcentral describes it as "Lactobacillus namurensis T-box sequence". It matches the Rfam family "T-box leader". From Rfam's summary of the family: Uncharged tRNA acts as the effector for transcription antitermination of genes in the T-box leader family. The record is from RNAcentral. Lineage: Bacteria; Bacillati; Bacillota; Bacilli; Lactobacillales; Lactobacillaceae.